AAUCUUCCACAAUGGACGAAAGUCUGAUGGAGCAACGCCGCGUGAGUGAAGAAGGUUUUCGGAUCGUCCCGCUCUGUUGUAAGGGAAGAACAAGUAAAGGAGUCACUGUCUGUACCUUGACGGUACCUUACCAGAAAGCCACGGCUAACUAAGUGCCAGCAGCCGCGGUAAUACGUAGGUGGCAAGCGUUGUCCGGAAUUAUUGGGCGUAAAGCGCGCGCAGGCGGUCCUUUAAGUCUGAUGUGAAAGCCCACGGCUCAACCGUGGAGGGUCAUUGGAAACUGGAGGACUUGAGUACAGAAGAGGAAAGCGGAAUUCCACGUGCAGCGGUGAAAUGCGUAGAGAUGUGGAGGAACACCAGUGGCGAAGGCGGCUUUCUGGUCUGUAACUGACGCUGAGGCGCGAAAGCGUGGGGAGCAAACA
This 422-nucleotide ribosomal RNA is filed under the name uncultured bacterium. RNAcentral describes it as "partial 16S ribosomal RNA". It matches the Rfam family "Bacterial small subunit ribosomal RNA", at positions 360 to 774 of the family's 1533-position model. The record is from RNAcentral.